Molecule: transfer RNA, 75 nt
Filed under: Trichonephila inaurata madagascariensis
Lineage: Eukaryota; Metazoa; Arthropoda; Arachnida; Araneae; Nephilidae
Description: tRNA-Cys
Rfam family: tRNA
About the family: Transfer RNA (tRNA) molecules are approximately 80 nucleotides in length. Their secondary structure includes four short double-helical elements and three loops (D, anti-codon, and T loops). Further hydrogen bonds mediate the characteristic L-shaped molecular structure. tRNAs have two regions of fundamental functional importance: the anti-codon, which is responsible for specific mRNA codon recognition, and the 3' end, to which the tRNAs corresponding amino acid is attached (by aminoacyl-tRNA synthetases). tRNAs cope with the degeneracy of the genetic code in two manners: having more than one tRNA (with a specific anti-codon) for a particular amino acid; and 'wobble' base-pairing, i.e. permitting non-standard base-pairing at the 3rd anti-codon position.
Source: RNAcentral
GAAGGGAUAGCUCAAUGGUAGAGCAUUCGACUGCAGAUCGAGAAGUCCCUGAUUCAAACCCGGAUGCCCCCUUCU